Non-coding RNA from Cordylochernes scorpioides, 73 nucleotides. Lineage: Eukaryota; Metazoa; Arthropoda; Arachnida; Pseudoscorpiones; Chernetidae. The record is from the annotation of a GenBank genome assembly.
UCCAGGGUAGCCUAGUGGACAUGGCAUCUGCCCGGUAAGCGGAACAUUGUGGGUUCGAUUCCCGCCCCUGGAC